This 268-nucleotide signal recognition particle RNA is filed under the name Armatimonadota bacterium. Its description in RNAcentral is "signal recognition particle sRNA large type". It matches the Rfam family "Bacterial large signal recognition particle RNA". From Rfam's summary of the family: The signal recognition particle (SRP) is a universally conserved ribonucleoprotein involved in the co-translational targeting of proteins to membranes. Archaeal SRP consists of a 7S RNA and homologues of the eukaryotic SRP19 and SRP54 proteins. In most bacteria, the SRP consists of a 4.5S RNA and the Ffh protein (a homologue of the eukaryotic SRP54 protein). The record is from RNAcentral. Lineage: Bacteria; Bacillati; Armatimonadota.
CUGUACUUAGACGGGGAGUUAGCGGUUCCCUGCACCCGAAAACCGCUUUACGCGGGGUCGAAAGCCCAUCUGAGGGGUUUCAAUCCGUUGGUCUGACCUGCGCACGUGGUGUUGAGGACUGGGCCCUGCGCACCGGAAGGCCACGAACCUUGUCAGGGCCGGAAGGCAGCAGCAAUAAGUGGUUGUUUCCGGGGGCCGCAGGUUCCCCCAGUCGGAGCCGGCGACGGGGGUAACGCAGCGGAGAGAAACUUCGACGAUGGGGGUACAG